GUGAUUGAUUGAUUGAUUGUUGGUUGCUUAACGUCCAGUGGCAAAUAUUUCAUGCAUAUUCAGGACGAAAACAAGUUCACAAUAAAUACAAUAGGUAGGUUGUUGUAAUAGAGGCCAUCUAGGAUUAUGGUCGUGAAAAUUUGGACUGCCACUGGAAAAUGAGGGUAUAUUGGAUAGGGACAGAAAUUUUGCCUUGCAACCAGGCCACCUACGGACCCCUCAAAGAGUUGCUGCAAGGGUUCUUAACGUGCAAAGAGCGUGGCACUCUCUUUACACGAGGCAUCGGAUUUAACGUCCCCUUCUGACGGACGUGACUGCGAACUUGAUACAUCCCGCACAGCCAAACGGACGCCCCACUUCAGCAAGCGUUUUACUGCCGGUCGGGAGAAGACCAAGUGACCAUAUUUCUAUACCCCAGUCAC
This 422-nucleotide long non-coding RNA is filed under the name Mytilus galloprovincialis (Mediterranean mussel). Lineage: Eukaryota; Metazoa; Mollusca; Bivalvia; Mytilida; Mytilidae. The record is from RNAcentral.